Molecule: unclassified non-coding RNA, 354 nt
Filed under: soil metagenome
Description: partial contains 5.8S ribosomal RNA, internal transcribed spacer 2, and large subunit ribosomal RNA
Rfam family: 5.8S ribosomal RNA (bases 1-119)
Source: RNAcentral
GAUGAAGAACGCAGUGAAAUGCGAUAAGUAAUGCGAAUUGCAGAAUCCGUGAGUCAUCGAAUCUUUGAACGCACAUUGCGCCCUUUGGUAUUCCGAAGGGCAUGCCUGUUCGAGCGUCAUUAUCACCACUCAAGCCCGGCUUGCUGUUGGUGGCAGCGCAGCCGGUCAACCGGCUACGCUCCACCCAAAGAUAAUGACGGCGUCUGCGAGGACUCCUGUACAUUGAGCUUUCGGGCACGUACAUGGCUAGAAGUCCAGGCGCCGGUCGACGUCCUCCGGGACACUUUUUACCAAGGUUGACCUCGGAUCAGGUAGGGAUACCCGCUGAACUUAAGCAUAUCAAUAAGCGGAGGA